RNAcentral lists this transfer RNA (76 nucleotides) under Hadesarchaea archaeon CG08_land_8_20_14_0_20_51_8. RNAcentral's name for it is "tRNA-Gln". It matches the Rfam family "tRNA". Rfam says of the family: Transfer RNA (tRNA) molecules are approximately 80 nucleotides in length. Their secondary structure includes four short double-helical elements and three loops (D, anti-codon, and T loops). Further hydrogen bonds mediate the characteristic L-shaped molecular structure. tRNAs have two regions of fundamental functional importance: the anti-codon, which is responsible for specific mRNA codon recognition, and the 3' end, to which the tRNAs corresponding amino acid is attached (by aminoacyl-tRNA synthetases). tRNAs cope with the degeneracy of the genetic code in two manners: having more than one tRNA (with a specific anti-codon) for a particular amino acid; and 'wobble' base-pairing, i.e. permitting non-standard base-pairing at the 3rd anti-codon position. Lineage: Archaea; Methanobacteriati; Hadarchaeota (SeqCode); Hadarchaeia (SeqCode). The record is from RNAcentral.
AGCCCCGUGGUGUAGUGGUCAAGCAUCCGGGCCUUUGGAGCCCGUGACGUCGGUUCGAAUCCGGCCGGGGCUACCA